Pelobates cultripes (western spadefoot toad) is the source of this 607-nucleotide non-coding RNA. The record is from the annotation of a GenBank genome assembly. NCBI's taxonomy places the organism in Eukaryota, Metazoa, Chordata, Amphibia, Anura, Pelobatidae.
AACCCCUCUUAUUGCAAUCACGCCCCUUCUCCCCACUUUCGCUGUGGCAUAUUGGACCGCAUGCGGAAUCUCCCAAAUACAACAACUACUAGAUGGCCAAACCAUACACUCAUUCCUAUACCUCCAAACUAAAUUUGGACUGCCCAAAUCUGCCUUUCUCUCCUAUCUCCAGAUUAAAUCUUGGCUCACAAGGCAUUUGCCCAUAACAGCUACAGAAACACACAAAACAACAAACUCCUAUAUACCUCAAAUCGUGGAACUUUGCACUAAAAAGCGAAACCCCACGAAAAUCAUUUCUUCGCUAUAUGCACUCAUUACAAAACAACCUCAUACAGGGAAACCCUCCUUUGCCAGGGCAUGGGAAUCAGACUUCAGGGAAACACUAGACCAAACACAGUGGUCCAAAAUCUACAUAGCUAACAAGACACUUACCCUGUGCGCUACUCAUAUAGAAUUAACCAGGAAGAUCCUCUACCGAUGGUAUAUGGUGCCUACGAGGCUCAAACACAUGGACCCUAACAGGUCAGAUCUAUGCUGGAGAUGCAAAUCAGAACCGGGCACUAUGUACCACAUAUGGUGGACAUGUCAAAAAAUUACAAAGUUCUGG